UACGAAGGGGGCUAGCGUUGUUCGGAUUUACUGGGCGUAAAGCGCACGUAGGCGGAUAUUUAAGUCAGGGGUGAAAUCCCAGAGCUCAACUCUGGAACUGCCUUUGAUACUGGGUAUCUCGAGUAUGGAAGAGGUGAGUGGAAUUCCGAGUGUAGAGGUGAAAUUCGUAGAUAUUCGGAGGAACACCAGUGGCGAAGGCGGCUCACUGGUCCAUUACUGACGCUGAGGUGCGAAAGCGUGGGGAGCAAACAGG
Molecule: ribosomal RNA, 253 nt
Filed under: uncultured bacterium
Lineage: Bacteria
Description: partial 16S ribosomal RNA
Rfam family: Bacterial small subunit ribosomal RNA
Source: RNAcentral